CACCUUUUGGUAAUUUCCCCCCAACGAAACCUAAAACCCCACCAAAAACCCUUGAGAAUCCUUUCUUUUUCUUCAAAAUCCUAACCCUAGCAUUUCUCCUUUGCUUUGCCUUCUCCAAAAUGGCUUCUCGUUUUAGAUCUCUCUCCAAACCAACAUUCUCUAUCCUCAAAUCUACCAUUAACAAACCAUCCCUUAAACCCAGAACCGCCUCUUCUCUCCUUCCUGCUCGUUCUUCCCCCACAUUUUCAAGGUCUGUUUCUCAAUUGGGUUGUCUUCAAUCUCUGCUGCCUCUCCACUCAGCGGUGUCUUCGGCUCGGCUCACGUCGUGUCUGGGAAUCGAUUCAAGGAGCUCGAGGUCGUUGUCUCAGGGUAUGCUUUGCAGUGCAAAUCCAGGAGUUUGAUAAUCUCCAAAAUGUUUGUAAUUUUGUUUCUGGGUACAUACAAAGAAAGACACAACCUGAGUUGGAGAGCUUGCACAUGGUUUGAGAAGAACUAGGUCUCAGUGUGCCUCGAUAACAUAUGAAAGAGUGGAAGGAAGUACCGCAUGAUGGGUCAGAGUCAUUGCUUUCCUUCUUGUUAUGUCCACUUGGCGAUUUAUUUUAUUUGAUAAUUAUGUGCUUUUCAUUAUUAAGUUGAAGUAAAAUUUCUAAAGUCCCACAUGAUGGACAUAACAUACACUGCAAGAAUCCUAUUCCCGAUUCUCCCGAUUUUGCAACUUUUCUCUUUAGAUUUCAAUCUUCUUCCAAGGAUCCUUUUACAGAAGAUUUGUGGUGCAAUGCUGCGACAUUCUUACUUUAGAUAAUAAAAUUGCUUUGCUAUUUGGUCAA
Molecule: RNA transcript, 827 nt
Organism: Theobroma umbraticum
Lineage: Eukaryota; Viridiplantae; Streptophyta; Magnoliopsida; Malvales; Malvaceae
Gene name: protein NONRESPONDING TO OXYLIPINS 2, mitochondrial
Source: RefSeq, a predicted model, not a curated record